This 458-nucleotide ribosomal RNA is filed under the name Lachnospiraceae bacterium. RNAcentral describes it as "bacterial SSU rRNA". It matches the Rfam family "Bacterial small subunit ribosomal RNA", at positions 1077 to 1533 of the family's 1533-position model. The record is from RNAcentral. Lineage: Bacteria; Bacillati; Bacillota; Clostridia; Lachnospirales; Lachnospiraceae.
GGGUUAAGUCCCGCAACGAGCGCAACCCUUAUCCUUUGUUGCCAGCGAUUCGGUCGGGAACUCAAAGGAGACUGCCAGUGAUAAACUGGAGGAAGGUGGGGAUGCCGUCAAGUCAUCAUGGCCCUUACGAGUAGGGCUACACACGUGCUACAAUGGCGUAUACAGAGGGCGACGAAGCCGCGAGGUGGAGUGAAUCUCACAAAGUACGUCUAAGUCCGGAUUGGAGUCUGCAACUCGACUCCAUGAAGUCGGAAUCGCUAGUAAUCGCGAAUCAGAAUGUCGCGGUGAAUACGUUCCCGGGCCUUGUACACACCGCCCGUCACACCAUGGGAGUGGGUUGUACCAGAAGUAGAUAGCUUAACCUUCGGGGGGGCGUUUACCACGGUAUGAUUCAUGACUGGGGUGAAGUCGUAACAAGGUAACCGUAGGGGAACCUGCGGUUGGAUCACCUCCUUACC